This 25-nucleotide non-coding RNA is filed under the name Cricetulus griseus (Chinese hamster). Lineage: Eukaryota; Metazoa; Chordata; Mammalia; Rodentia; Cricetidae. The record is from RNAcentral.
UUGUAGAACUGAAAUUCUUUCAAGU